UAAAAUAUUAAAAUAAAAACUUUAAUUAAAACCUAAUAAAAUUCUAAUCAAAUCUUAGUCAAAUCUUAAUCAAAUUCUAAUCAAAUCCUAGAAAAAUCUUAAUAAAAUCCUAAACAAAUUCUAAACAAAUUAUAAUUAAAUCCUAAUCAAAUCUUAAAUAAAACCUAAAUAAAUCCUAAAUUUAUUCUAAAUAAAUCUUAAUCAAAUUCUAAUCAAAUUCUAACCAAAUCCUAACCAAGUCUUAACCAAAUCCAAAAAAAUUUCUAAAUUAAUUCUUAAAUGAAUCCUAAAUAAAUCCUUAUUAAGUCCUAAAUAAAUCCUAAAUAAAUCCUAACUAAAUCCUAAAUAAAUCUUAACCAAAUUCUUAAAAAAUCCUAAAAAAAUCCUAACCAAACUGUAAACAAAUCCUAAACAAAUCCUAACCAAAUCCUAAACAUAUCCUAACAAAGUCUUAAUCAAAUCCUAAAAAAUCUCUAAAAUAAUUCUUAAAUAAAUCCUAAAAAAUCCUAAAAAAAUCCUAAACAAGUCCUAACCAAAUCUUAACCAAACUCUAAACAAAUCCUAACCAAGUCCUAACCAAAUCCUAAACAAUCCCUAAACAAAUUCUUCAAUAAAUCCUAAAUAAAUCUUAAAUAAGUCUUAAAUAAACUCUAAAUAAAUCUUAACUAAAUCCUAAAUAAAUCCCAACCAAAUGCUAAACAAAUCCUAAAAGAAUCCUAACCAAACUCUAAAUAAAUCUUAACCAAACUCUAAACAUAUCC
RNAcentral lists this long non-coding RNA (761 nucleotides) under Physcomitrium patens. Its description in RNAcentral is "long non-coding RNA (PPAT_LNC004833)". The record is from RNAcentral. Lineage: Eukaryota; Viridiplantae; Streptophyta; Bryopsida; Funariales; Funariaceae.